This 329-nucleotide unclassified non-coding RNA is filed under the name soil metagenome. RNAcentral's name for it is "partial contains 5.8S ribosomal RNA, internal transcribed spacer 2, and large subunit ribosomal RNA". The stretch from base 1 to 120 matches the Rfam family "5.8S ribosomal RNA", at positions 35 to 154 of the family's 154-position model. The record is from RNAcentral.
GAUGAAGAACGCAGCGAAAUGCGAUACGUAAUGUGAAUUGCAGAAUUCAGUGAAUCAUCGAGUCUUUGAACGCACAUUGCGCCCCCUGGUAUUCCGAGGGGCAUGCCUGUUCGAGCGUCAUUAUAACCCCUCAAGCUCAGCUUGGUGUUGGGGCCUGCUGCACUGGCAGCCCUUAAAAUCAGUGGCGGCGCCAUCUGGCUCUAAGCGUAGUAAUUCUUCUCGCUAUGGAGUCCUGGUGGAUGCUUGCCAUCAACCCCCAAUUUUUCUAUGGUUGACCUCGGAUCAGGUAGGGAUACCCGCUGAACUUAAGCAUAUCAAUAAGCGGAGGA